GAUGAACGCUGGCGGCGUGCCUAAUACAUGCAAGUCGAGCGAACGGACGAGAAGCUUGCUUAUCUGAUGUUAGCGGCGGACGGGUGAGUAACACGUGGAUAACCUACCUAUAAGACUGGGAUAACUUCGGGAAACCGGAGCUAAUACCGGAUAAUAUUUUGAACCGCAUGGUUCAAAAGUGAAAGACGGUCUUGCUGUCACUUAUAGGUGGAUCCGCGCUGCAUUAGCUAGUUGGUAAGGUAACGGCUUACCAAGGCAACGAUGCAUAGCCGACCUGAGAGGGUGAUCGGCCACACUGGAACUGAGACACGGUCCAGACUCCUACGGGAGGCAGCAGUAGGGAAUCUUCCGCAAUGGGCGAAAGCCUGACGGAGCAACGCCGAGUGAGUGAUGAAGGUCUUCGGAUCGUAAAACUCUGUUAUUAGGGAAGAACAUAUGUGUAAGUAACUGUGCACAUCUUGACGGUACCUAAUCAGAAAGCCACGGCUAACUACGUG
RNAcentral lists this ribosomal RNA (497 nucleotides) under uncultured bacterium. Its description in RNAcentral is "partial 16S ribosomal RNA". It matches the Rfam family "Bacterial small subunit ribosomal RNA", at positions 28 to 507 of the family's 1533-position model. The record is from RNAcentral.